Molecule: long non-coding RNA, 320 nt
Organism: Sander lucioperca (pikeperch)
Lineage: Eukaryota; Metazoa; Chordata; Actinopteri; Perciformes; Percidae
Exons: 3
Source: RefSeq, a predicted model, not a curated record
AAGGAUAGUCAGUAGUGCUGUCAAACGAUUAAAAUAUUUAAUCGCGAUUAAUCGCAUUAAUGUCAUAGUUAACUCGCAAUUAAUCGCACAUUUUUAUCUAUUCUAAAUGUCCCUUGAUUUCUUUUAGUCCCAUUAUUUUUUUCUCAUUUUAAUGCUCUUAUCAACAUGGAAAAGUGGAUCGGCUUGCUUUGUGCAAAUGUUUUUUUUAUUAAAAACAACAUUGGCAUAUACUGUAGUGUUCAAUUUCACACUAACAUUCACACUUGGAGCAGUCAUUCACACUUGGAGCAAAUAAUCUCUCACACAAUGUAACGGCUUUG